This 464-nucleotide ribosomal RNA is filed under the name Vreelandella stevensii. Its description in RNAcentral is "partial 16S ribosomal RNA". It matches the Rfam family "Bacterial small subunit ribosomal RNA", at positions 338 to 795 of the family's 1533-position model. Lineage: Bacteria; Pseudomonadati; Pseudomonadota; Gammaproteobacteria; Oceanospirillales; Halomonadaceae. The record is from RNAcentral.
CCUACGGGAGGCAGCAGUGGGGAAUAUUGGACAAUGGGCGAAAGCCUGAUCCAGCCAUGCCGCGUGUGUGAAGAAGGCCUUCGGGUUGUAAAGCACUUUCAGUGGGGAAGAAAGCCUUGGGGCUAAUACCCUCGAGGAAGGACAUCACCCACAGAAGAAGCACCGGCUAACUCCGUGCCAGCAGCCGCGGUAAUACGGAGGGUGCGAGCGUUAAUCGGAAUUACUGGGCGUAAAGCGCGCGUAGGCGGUCUGAUAAGCCGGUUGUGAAAGCCCCGGGCUCAACCUGGGAACGGCAUCCGGAACUGUCAGGCUAGAGUGCAGGAGAGGAAGGUAGAAUUCCCGGUGUAGCGGUGAAAUGCGUAGAGAUCGGGAGGAAUACCAGUGGCGAAGGCGGCCUUCUGGACUGACACUGACGCUGAGGUGCGAAAGCGUGGGUAGCAAACAGGAUUAAUACCCUUGUAGUC